CCUACGGGAGGCAGCAGUGAGGAAUAUUGCACAAUGGGGGAACCCUGAUGCAGCAACGCCGCGUGGGUGAUGAAGGCCUUCGGGUCGUAAAACCCUUUUCUGGAGGACGAGAAAGGACGGUACUCCAGGAAUAAGUCCCGGCUAACUACGUGCCAGCAGCCGCGGUAAAACGUAGGGGGCGAGCGUUAUCCGGAUUUACUGGGCGUAAAGCGCGUGUAGGCGGCUUGGUAAGUUGGACGUGAAAGCUCCUGGCUUAACUGGGAGAGGCCGUUCAAUACUGCCAGGCUUGAGGUCGGAAGAGGGGAGUGGAAUUCCCGGUGUAGUGGUGGAAUGCGUAGAUAUCGGGAGGAACACCUGUGGCGAAGGCGGCCUCCUGGGUCGUUCCUGACGCUCAGACGCGAAAGCUAGGGGAGCGAACGGGAUUAGAUACCCUGGUAGUCCACGCCCUAAACGGUGGGCACUAGGUGUAGGGCUCGUAAGGGUUCUGUGCCGAAGCGAAAGCAUUAAGUGCCCCGCCUGGGGAGUACGGCCGCAAGGCUAAAACUUAAAGGAAUUGACGG
RNAcentral lists this ribosomal RNA (560 nucleotides) under uncultured bacterium. RNAcentral describes it as "bacterial SSU rRNA". It matches the Rfam family "Bacterial small subunit ribosomal RNA", at positions 338 to 916 of the family's 1533-position model. The record is from RNAcentral.